This 496-nucleotide ribosomal RNA is filed under the name uncultured bacterium. Its description in RNAcentral is "partial 16S ribosomal RNA". It matches the Rfam family "Bacterial small subunit ribosomal RNA", at positions 29 to 507 of the family's 1533-position model. The record is from RNAcentral.
AUGAACGCUGGCGGCGUGCCUCAUCCAUGCCAGUCGCGCGAACAGACGAGGAGCUUGCUCCUCUGACGUUAGCGGCGGACGGGUGAGUAACACGUGGAUAACCUACCUAUAAGACUGGGAUAACUUCGGGAAACCGGAGCUAAUACCGGAUAAUAUAUUGAACCGCAUGGUUCAAUAGUGAAAGACGGUUUUGCUGUCACUUAUAGAUGGAUCCGCGCCGCAUUAGCUAGUUGGUAAGGUAACGGCUUACCAAGGCGACGAUGCGUAGCCGACCUGAGAGGGUGAUCGGCCACACUGGAACUGAGACACGGUCCAGACUCCUACGGGAGGCAGCAGUAGGGAAUCUUCCGCAAUGGGCGAAAGCCUGACGGAGCAACGCCGCGUGAGUGAUGAAGGUCUUCGGAUCGUAAAACUCUGUUAUUAGGGAAGAACAAAUGUGUAAGUAACUAUGCACGUCUUGACGGUACCUAAUCAGAAAGCCACGGCUAACUACGUG